This 572-nucleotide ribosomal RNA is filed under the name uncultured bacterium. RNAcentral's name for it is "partial 16S ribosomal RNA". It matches the Rfam family "Bacterial small subunit ribosomal RNA", at positions 355 to 919 of the family's 1533-position model. The record is from RNAcentral.
UGGGGAAUUUUGGACAAUGGGCGAAAGCCUGAUCCAGCAAUGCCGCGUGUGUGAAGAAGGCCUUCGGGUUGUAAAGCACUUUUGUCCGGAAAGAAAUCCUUGGCUCUAAUACAGUCGGGGGAUGACGGUACCGGAAGAAUAAGCACCGGCUAACUACGUGCCAGCAGCCGCGGUAAUACGUAGGGUGCAAGCGUUAAUCGGAAUUACUGGGCGUAAAGCGUGCGCAGGCGGUUUGCUAAGACCGAUGUGAAAUCCCCGGGCUCAACCUGGGAACUGCAUUGGUGACUGGCAGGCUAGAGUAUGGCAGAGGGGGGUAGAAUUCCACGUGUAGCAGUGAAAUGCGUAGAGAUGUGGAGGAAUACCGAUGGCGAAGGCAGCCCCCUCGGCAAGUACUGACGCUCAUGCACGAAAGCGUGGGGAGCAAACAGGAUUAGAUACCCUGGUAGUCCACGCCCUAAACGAUGUCAACUAGUUGUUGGGGGAUUCAUUUCCUUAGUAACGUAGCUAACGCGUGAAGUUGACCGCCUGGGGAGUACGGUCGCAAGAUUAAAACUUAAAUGAAUUGACGGGGU